Molecule: small RNA, 39 nt
Filed under: Arabidopsis thaliana (thale cress)
Lineage: Eukaryota; Viridiplantae; Streptophyta; Magnoliopsida; Brassicales; Brassicaceae
Description: ATSL022520
Source: RNAcentral
AAUCUCCCGGACGUUAGAACAAAAUGCGACGGAUAUCAU